Molecule: transfer RNA, 72 nt
Filed under: Candidatus Caccopulliclostridium gallistercoris
Lineage: Bacteria; Bacillati; Bacillota; Clostridia
Also listed under: 5 other names
Rfam family: tRNA
About the family: Transfer RNA (tRNA) molecules are approximately 80 nucleotides in length. Their secondary structure includes four short double-helical elements and three loops (D, anti-codon, and T loops).
Source: RNAcentral
GGGGAUUAGCUCAGCUGGCUAGAGCGCCUGCCUUGCAAGCAGGAGGUCAUCGGUUCGAUUCCGAUAUUCUCC